UACGUAGGAUGCAAGCGUUGUCCGGAUUGACUGGGCGUAAAGCGCACGCAGGCGGACGCGCGCGUGGGGUGUGAAAUCUGGCCGCUUAACGGCCAGGCGCCAUCCCAUACGGCGCGUCUGGAGCCUUGCAGAGGUCGGUGGAAUUGCCGGUGUAGUGGUGAAAUGCGCAGAUAUCAGGAAGAACACCUAUGGCGAAGGCAGCUCUCUGGGACGGUACUGACGCUGAGACGCGAAAGCGUGGGGAGCGAACAGG
This 253-nucleotide ribosomal RNA is filed under the name uncultured bacterium. Its description in RNAcentral is "partial 16S ribosomal RNA". It matches the Rfam family "Bacterial small subunit ribosomal RNA", at positions 524 to 776 of the family's 1533-position model. The record is from RNAcentral.